Long non-coding RNA from Triticum aestivum (bread wheat), 860 nucleotides. RefSeq lists it as uncharacterized. The transcript is spliced from 3 exons. The record is from RefSeq and is a predicted model, not a curated record. Lineage: Eukaryota; Viridiplantae; Streptophyta; Magnoliopsida; Poales; Poaceae.
GUCAGCGACACGUACUGAACGUCCCGUGCGUGUGGUCAAAGUCGCCCACAUCCGGCUCGAGAGUAGUCGAGUCAUUCUCGAAGCCUGCCGCCGCCGCGGACGGCUUGCCCAAAUCCAGCAGUUUACGGCGAGCUGCGGUAGCUCCGGCCGGUGAGCACCGGAAUACGCUGGGCUCGAGUUCCUGCUUGAUGUCGUAGACAGGUUUCCGCGGUCCUCUGGCGGCGCUCCCGCGAGCUCGUUUCGCUUCUGCUGCUCCGGCCUACUCAAAUGCCAGCUCAGGUUGCGGGCAGAAAAAAUCGCCGGCGACGCCAAUCUUCUCCGACAAGGUCUGCUGAAUCGACGGACAGGGUGAACCCCGAGGCUCCGGGUUUGACAAAGUGGGGAGGGAAGCCCGAUGCAGAGAACAUCAGGUCGUGUAGGUGCGAAUGCUCCGCUUUGAUAUGGCUCCAAUGUGCGCCUGAGAACAGUUGACACAUAACAGAACAUAAUGAGAGCCACAAUCAUUUCAUGUUUCUCACGAUCAUAGUGAAGGUGCACUGGCUGUCUCACAAACACAUCGAUGUUCACACGAAAGACCUGAUUAGGCAGCUAAGGGAAAACAAUGUCAACCUUGGUAAGGUGUAUAGCAUAAUUGGAAGUUUCUUUGGCUCCGUUGAGAAGGUACAAUUCACCAAGAGGACGCUCAGGAACAUAUGCGGCAAGAUAAGCCGUAGGCAAGCUGACUUGUACUCAAGAAAUAUGUACUCAGAAUCAAAUGUGAUAAUUGUGUUUUAAAUUCUGUAACAUGUACUCUGACGGUUUUCUGGUGUGUUUCAGUGAGCACUGCCCCACGCUUAUUCCUCAUGGGACGUGAGGCUGUA